GAAAAGAGAGUGCAAGAGAACGUGAAACCGUUAUAGUGGAAGCGGAUGGAGCCGACGUAUCCAGUGCGUAUUUAGCCACUGCCGGGUGCGAUUUGUUCGUUUUUGAAGUUCUGAAAGGUCUCCGCCGAAGAGCUGUUGUGUGCGGUGAGUGGUGCACUUGCGCACAGAGUGCGCCGAUUCGGUUGGGCCUGGCGUUCGAAGUGUGGGCAAGAGGACCGGUUCGCAAGGGCCGGAAACCUGGGCAUCGUGCGGGCGACGGAUGAGUCUGGCUGCAUUGCAUAAGGCGGGCCGAUUUUGAGCGGCUCGGGGAAGUUUCGCCGUUGUUGGGGUGUGGCGCAUGCGUUUCAUUUCGCAGCGAGUCUCUUUCUCUGGGCGUUUCUCGGCCGGUAUUCGGUGUCUAGUCGGUCACCCAUUUGACCCGUCUUGAAACACGGACCAAGGAGUUUAAGGUGUGCGCGAGUCAUUGGGUGGGAAACUCAAAGGCGGAAUGAAAGUGGGACACUUGGUGUCUGUGAUGCGAUCCGUGUGUGAUUCGUUGUGUGCGGAGCAGCAUCGACCCAUGACCAGAACUUGUUCUGUUGUGGAGUCUGAGCGUGGGCCUUGAGACCCGAAAGAUGGUGAACUAUGCCUGAGCAGGACGAAGUCAGAGGAAACUCUGAUGGAAGUCCGAAGCGGUUCUGACGUGCAAAUCGAUCGUCUGAUUUGGGUAUAGGGGCGCAAGACUAAUCGAACCAUC
This 736-nucleotide ribosomal RNA is filed under the name Schistonchus sp. ex Ficus altissima YZ-2012. RNAcentral's name for it is "LSU rRNA". It matches the Rfam family "Eukaryotic large subunit ribosomal RNA", at positions 378 to 944 of the family's 3401-position model. Lineage: Eukaryota; Metazoa; Nematoda; Chromadorea; Rhabditida; Aphelenchoididae. The record is from RNAcentral.